CAGUAUCAGUAGGGAGGCAGAGGAGGCCUCAUGUCAAGAGAAUCCACAACCGCGUCAGCAUUAUCAUCAGGUUUCAUCAGUUAUUCCAGUAUUUUAAAACAACUCAAACUGUCAAUCAAUGUCUGUUCAACAACAACGUCAACUACAGCCGCAACAAAGAACCAACAACUACAACAACAACAACAAUAAUCAACAACAACAAAAUUUCGAGAGGAAGAAG
RNAcentral lists this long non-coding RNA (220 nucleotides) under Lathyrus oleraceus (garden pea). Its description in RNAcentral is "Pisum sativum (pea) long non-coding RNA (PSAT_LNC042222)". The record is from RNAcentral. Lineage: Eukaryota; Viridiplantae; Streptophyta; Magnoliopsida; Fabales; Fabaceae.